UGAUAGCUAUUUGUAUAAGAAAUUAGCUAGUGGGAAUAGGUGGGAAGAUGCUAAAAUGGCGAUGAACACAAUUUCAAGUUUGGUUAGGUGUAACAUUAUGGGGAGAGAAGUGGAAGCAUCUGCACAAAAAAUUCUCUCAAGAGUAUAGGUUAGUGGUCAAAUAUUUCAAUUUGGUUUAUGUUUAUUAUGUCACUAGUGAAUUUGGUGCGCUUCCUGCGGUUUUUUUGAAAGAAUUGUUAAAGAA
This 244-nucleotide unclassified non-coding RNA is filed under the name Hevea brasiliensis (rubber tree). Lineage: Eukaryota; Viridiplantae; Streptophyta; Magnoliopsida; Malpighiales; Euphorbiaceae. The record is from RNAcentral.